GGUAUUGUUUACCUCACGAUAAGCCCCGGAAACUUAUUGUCAUUGCGUGACAAGGAACGGUCACGCCUGUAAACAACUA
RNAcentral lists this small RNA (79 nucleotides) under Leuconostoc gasicomitatum. Its description in RNAcentral is "Leuconostoc gelidum subsp. gasicomitatum L13_leader". It matches the Rfam family "Ribosomal protein L13 leader". Rfam says of the family: This family is a putative r-protein leader autoregulatory structure found in B. subtilis and other low-GC Gram-positive bacteria. It is located in the 5' untranslated regions of mRNAs encoding the L13-S9 (rplM-rpsI) ribosomal protein operon. Lineage: Bacteria; Bacillati; Bacillota; Bacilli; Lactobacillales; Lactobacillaceae. The record is from RNAcentral.